RNAcentral lists this ribosomal RNA (497 nucleotides) under uncultured bacterium. RNAcentral describes it as "partial 16S ribosomal RNA". It matches the Rfam family "Bacterial small subunit ribosomal RNA", at positions 28 to 507 of the family's 1533-position model. The record is from RNAcentral.
GAUGAACGCUGGCGGCGUGCCUAAUACAUGCAAGUCGAGCGAACGGACGAGAAGCUUGCUUCUCUGAUGUUAGCGGCGGACGGGUGAGUAACACGUGGAUAACCUACCUAUAAGACUGGGAUAACUUCGGGAAACCGGAGCUAAUACCGGAUAAUAUUUUGAACCGCAUGGUUCAAAAGUGAAAGACGGUCUUGCUGUCACUUAUAGAUGGAUCCGCGCUGCAUUCGCUAGUUGGUAAGGUAACGGCUUACCAAGGCAACGAUGCAUAGCCGACCUGAGAGGGUGAACGGCCACACUGGAACUGAGACACGGUCCAGACUCCUACGGGAGGCAGCAGUAGGGAAUCUUCCGCAAUGGGCGAAAGCCUGACGGAGCAACGCCGCGUGAGUGAUGAAGGUCUUCGGAUCGUAAAACUCUGUUAUUAGGGAAGAACAUAUGUGUAAGUAACUGUGCACAUCUUGACGGUACCUAAUCAGAAAGCCACGGCUAACUACGUG